This 607-nucleotide ribosomal RNA is filed under the name uncultured bacterium. RNAcentral's name for it is "bacterial SSU rRNA". It matches the Rfam family "Bacterial small subunit ribosomal RNA", at positions 8 to 612 of the family's 1533-position model. The record is from RNAcentral.
AGAGUUUGAUCAUGGCUCAGGAUGAACGCUAGCGGCAGGCUUAACACAUGCAAGUCGAGGGGUAACAUUGUAGCUUGCUACAGAUGACGACCGGCGCACGGGUGCGUAACGCGUAUACAAUCUACCUUUUGCUAAGGGAUAGCCCAGAGAAAUUUGGAUUAACACCUUAUAGUAUAUAAAAACAGCAUUGUUAUUAUAUUAAAGGUUACGGCAAGAGAUGAGUAUGCGUCCUAUUAGCUAGAUGGUAAGGUAACGGCUUACCAUGGCGACGAUAGGUAGGGGCCCUGAGAGGGGGAUCCCCCACACUGGUACUGAGACACGGACCAGACUCCUACGGGAGGCAGCAGUGAGGAAUAUUGGGCAAUGGAGGCAACUCUGACCCAGCCAUGCCGCGUGCAGGAAGACUGCCCUAUGGGUUGUAAACUGCUUUUAUACAGGAAGAAACAGCUCUACGUGUAGAGCCUUGACGGUACUGUAAGAAUAAGGAUCGGCUAACUCCGUGCCAGCAGCCGCGGUAAUACGGAGGAUCCAAGCGUUAUCCGGAAUCAUUGGGUUUAAAGGGUCCGUAGGUGGAUAAUUAAGUCAGAGGUGAAAUCCUGCAGCUCAA